Molecule: RNA transcript, 1715 nt
Organism: Ipomoea nil (Japanese morning glory)
Lineage: Eukaryota; Viridiplantae; Streptophyta; Magnoliopsida; Solanales; Convolvulaceae
Gene name: zinc finger protein 830
Exons: 10
Source: RefSeq, a predicted model, not a curated record
AAUUUUUGAAGCAGCGAAGCACCAUGAUUCGUGGCAAUUUUUUCCUCUCAUUCUUAGAAGAUCAAUUGUGAAGCUGGUGAAAGAAGAAAUCGUAUCAGUAGCAGAGCUCCAUAGAAACACUGUCGCGACUCACGGCGAGCUCUCAAUUCCAGAGCAUAGCCUGAAAUCUGCUCAGCUGAGCCCUAACAUCCAUUGAAAGAUUCACAGCGCCAAAACGAAGUUGCUGUAUUUCAAAAACUAUUGCUAUGGCUGAUAAGAAGGCACUUUUUCGGGCAAAACUAGCACAGAGGAAAGAGAAGCGAAUUGAGAGUCCUCUUGUAAGGUAUAAUGAGCUUGAGCAACCUGUCUGUAGAGUUUGUGAUGUUAUCCUGAAAUCUGAGACAGACUGGACUGUUCACCAAGCUUCUCGUAAACACAAUGCGGCAAUCAAUAAUCUCAAAGCCAAUGCUGCUGCACUAAAGCAAACCAAGAAUCUGAAGCCUGGGCUUUCUAAAGAUUUAACUAGGCCUGAGCCUGAGAAUCAUGAAGAGUUGCAUAAUAAAGAAGCUGAACCUGCAGGAUUGUCUAAACGUCGACAAUCAUCUUCUCUUCCUCCCAACUUCUUUGAUAGUAAAGAAACAAAGAAACAGAAAAGUGUCAAUGCUCAAACUGAAGAAUUGCAGCCACCUAUAUCAAGGAGCAAAGUGGACAUAGCAAAUGAAAAUGUUGACUCAAAGAUUUCUGAAUUGGGGCCAUCCAGGGAACAACUAGCAAAACAGAGUCUUGGUUCAGAAGCUAGGAAGGCCAAAGGAAUUCUUCCUGAAGGAUUUUACGAUAAUAAAGAUGCUGAUUUGCGUGCACGUGGCAUUACACCAGUCAAACCUGAUGUCAAGGAUGAGUAUAAGGAAUUUGAGAAGUUGAUCCAGGAGGACUUACAGGAGGUUGACAAACGUUUAGAGGAAGAGGAGUAUGAUGCAGCUGAUACGAUUGAAGAGGCUGAGACUGUGGAACAAAGGGCCUGUAAGGAAAGAGUGGAGAGGUGGAAGAAGAGAAAGAUUGAACUUAAGGCUGCCAAGUCUACCAUUCGUGGCAAAGAUACUAAGAUCACUAACAAGGAGUCUAGCGAUGAAGAGUCAUCAAGUGAUGCUGACAGUGAUGAAAAUUUAACAGUUGAUUGGAGAGCUAAACAUCUGUGAAAUUCUCAUGCUUUUGUUUUUCGAUCUGAAAGUUGACUGAACCAUUAUUUGGUAGGAAUUUAGAUGCUUGUGUCUCCAAACAUGAACUGCGAAUUCUCAUAGCUUUGUUGUUACGUAAUGCAAAUUCUAACACAUGCAGAAGCUGUUUUAUUGUCAACAUGGCAAAGUUCAACCUCUGUAAGCCUCAAAGAAUCAAAUACGAGAGACAUAACACAACACAUGCUCAUCUAUCAAUAUGGCAAUUUUGGGAUAUUUAGCUGAUACAUAUAUGUUUGCACAAUCAAAGCUUCUUUUAUGCUAUCUGUUAUUCUCCAACCGGUCUUAAGUAAGAUGCUUUAGGCUUCUUCAAACUCUAUCGUCAUUUGAAUUUACCAAUUGAUCAAAGUUGUCGUGGUUAGCUGGAGAUGUAUUUUAAAAAUUGGGUAAAACUGUUAGCAGCCAUAAUGGGAAAUGUGAAUCUCAUUAUUAUUGUUGUGUUUUUCUGUUGCUUGAAAUUAUGGAAAUAUUUAUAAUCAUUGAACACAAGAUGCAUUGAGUUAA